CCUCUGGUAGCUCAGUUGGUAGAGCGGUGGACUGUAGUGGUGUAAGGUGGAUCAGUAAUCCAUAGGUCGCUGGUUCAAAUCCGGCCCGGAGGA
Molecule: transfer RNA, 93 nt
Filed under: Trialeurodes vaporariorum (greenhouse whitefly)
Lineage: Eukaryota; Metazoa; Arthropoda; Insecta; Hemiptera; Aleyrodidae
Description: tRNA-Tyr for anticodon GUA
Rfam family: tRNA
About the family: Transfer RNA (tRNA) molecules are approximately 80 nucleotides in length. Their secondary structure includes four short double-helical elements and three loops (D, anti-codon, and T loops). Further hydrogen bonds mediate the characteristic L-shaped molecular structure. tRNAs have two regions of fundamental functional importance: the anti-codon, which is responsible for specific mRNA codon recognition, and the 3' end, to which the tRNAs corresponding amino acid is attached (by aminoacyl-tRNA synthetases). tRNAs cope with the degeneracy of the genetic code in two manners: having more than one tRNA (with a specific anti-codon) for a particular amino acid; and 'wobble' base-pairing, i.e. permitting non-standard base-pairing at the 3rd anti-codon position.
Source: RNAcentral